Molecule: long non-coding RNA, 307 nt
Filed under: Podarcis muralis (Common wall lizard)
Lineage: Eukaryota; Metazoa; Chordata; Lepidosauria; Squamata; Lacertidae
Description: lncRNA (ENSPMRG00000014640.1)
Source: RNAcentral
AUGAAAGUAUUUUUAAAGCAACGUCAAUGUCUAGAACAAAAAAAAAAAAGGUGGGGGGAGGAGGAAGAAGAUGGAGACCCUUCUGGAAACGAGACUCCGAGAAAUAACCCCAAAACGAAUGCACCCGCGCCGCCGCCCCUCCUUGCCGAAAGGGGCUUUCGAUUUGGAGCUGUCAGCUCGGCAGACGCGGCGAGCCGUCGCUUAUCGAGCUGCAUCUUGUACGGAACAUCUGGCGGAGCAGCUUCAAAGCGGCGGAGGAAAGUUGCGCAGGACAAAUCACCCAAUAUACUUCAUUAGGGCCGAGCAC